RNAcentral lists this ribosomal RNA (372 nucleotides) under uncultured bacterium. Its description in RNAcentral is "bacterial SSU rRNA". It matches the Rfam family "Bacterial small subunit ribosomal RNA", at positions 525 to 896 of the family's 1533-position model. The record is from RNAcentral.
ACGAAGGGGGCUAGCGUUGUUCGGAAUUACUGGGCGUAAAGCGCGCGUAGGCGGUUUUGCAAGCCAGAGGUGAAAUGCCUGAGCUUAACUUAGGAAUUGCCUUUGGGACUGUGAGGCUUUGAGGACGAGAGAGGUGAGUGGAAUUCCCAGUGUAGAGGUGAAAUUCGUAGAUAUUGGGAAGAACACCGGUGGCGAAGGCGGCUCACUGGCUCGUUUCUGACGCUGUAGCGCGAAAGCGUGGGGAUCAAACAGGAUUAGAUACCCUGGUAGUCCACGCUGUAAACGAUGAGUGCUAGGCGUUGGCACGCUUGCGUGUCAGUGCCGCAGCUAACGCGUGAAGCACUCCGCCUGGGGAGUACGGUCGCAAGAUUA